RNAcentral lists this ribosomal RNA (497 nucleotides) under uncultured bacterium. Its description in RNAcentral is "partial 16S ribosomal RNA". It matches the Rfam family "Bacterial small subunit ribosomal RNA", at positions 28 to 507 of the family's 1533-position model. The record is from RNAcentral.
GAUGAACGCUGGCGGCGUGCCUAAUACAUGCAAGUCGAGCGAACAGACGAGGAGCUUGCUCCUCUGACGUUAGCGGCGGACGGGUGAGUAACACGUGGAUAACCUACCUUUAAGACUGGGAUAACUUCGGGAAACCGGAGCUAAUACCGGAUAAUAUAUUGAACCGCAUGGUUCAAUAGUGAAAGACGGUUUUGCUGUCACUUAUAGAUGGAUCCGCGCCGCAUUAGCUAGUUGGUAAGGUAACAGCUUACCAAGGCAACGAUGCGUAGCCGACCUGAGAGGGUGAUCGGCCACACUGGAACUGAGACACGGUCCAGACUCCUACGGGAGGCAGCAGUAGGGAAUCUUCCGCAAUGGGCGAAAGCCUGACGGAGCAACGCCGCGUGAGUGAUGAAGGUCUUCGGAUCGUAAAACUCUGUUAUUAGGGAAGAACAAAUGUGUAAGUAACUAUGCACGUCUUGACGGUACCUAAUCAGAAAGCCACGGCUAACUACGUG